GAAGGAGACGCAUCGAACGACACUCCUCACAGUUAUGGUAACGUUUUAAUCAUCUCGUCUAUCUUGCCGCGAGUCGAUCACAAGACAACGAGAACAAUGUCUCGCGUGUUGGAACGGUUGACGAGGAGGAUGGGUGAAAGAAGACGGCGAAGAUGUCGACGACGAGCAGCCACUUUCCAUCGAGUGUCCUCUCGAAUCGUAGCCCAGCGUCUUGAAAGCUUCUGAACGAUGGAUCCUCGACCAGCGUGUGCCUUCCCGUCCAGGCCUAUGCAACAGGAACACCAUGCAAGCAAACGAUCCUCGAAUGGCUUGGCAAACCAUUGGCCCGACCACGAAUCAAACGAAUGAGACAGCGUUUCAGGAGUUUGCGUGAUGAAUAAUACGCGUAACGCAAGAAGGAAACUGUUCCGCGAAUUGAAUCAGUUAUGGCUUAUAUGCGCGCGUUGACAAGUGUAGCUUCAAAGAUGAACAACGUUGGCAGAAACACGUUACUCGAAAUGGAAAUAUUUCUCGCUCGGAACACUCGAAAAUCUACGUGGAAGCGAUAUAGCGUUUGAGGAAACGCGCUAAGGAAUUUCUUUGUCUCGUAAAAGAUCACGAAGAAUCAUUUAAAAGUUAGCUAUUUUUUAGGAUUCUCCGGUUUGAUUUUGUGCAAACUAGAAUUUUGUGAAAAUUAUACGGCAGAAUUUUAUGCAAACUAUACGCUGAGACUUCAAAGGCCAUUGAACCAAUCUGUAAGCGAGCAAUUCUUUCGACAUUUUCUAUUUUGCUUUAGUGCAAACUAUACGGUAGAUCUGGCUAAGAAUCGAAAGAAUUCGACCAGCGAAAAUGCAAAAUAGCCAAAAAUACGACGAAAAUACCCUGGAUAGAUCAGUCGAUCCACAUACAACCAGGUGGUUCGUAUACAGCGAAGUCUCGUUUAUGCGAGUUCGACCUAAGUUCCGUGCAGUCCGAGACGCCUUAAACUUGAGCGUAACUUCGUCUUUCUGGACAUUUUAACGCGAACAGUACGUAAGAGCGCUGGAAUAGUCGGAUACUGCGAAAGCAGUUGAUCAAGUUACCGAUAGAUCAAACGAUGAAUCAAACUUAACACACGCACCA
Long non-coding RNA from Bombus impatiens (common eastern bumble bee), 1101 nucleotides. RefSeq lists it as uncharacterized. NCBI's taxonomy places the organism in Eukaryota, Metazoa, Arthropoda, Insecta, Hymenoptera, Apidae. The record is from RefSeq and is a predicted model, not a curated record. The transcript has 2 exons.